GAUGAAGAACGUAGCGAAAUGCGAUACUUGGUGUGAAUUGCAGAAUCCCGUGAACCAUCGAGUCUUUGAACGCAAGUUGCGCCCGAAGCCAUUAGGCCGAGGGCACGCCUGCCUGGGCGUCACACGUCGUUGCCCCCCCAUCUACUCCUUCGGGAUUGCGGGGGGCGGAUGAUGGCCUCCCGUGCGCCUCGUCGCGCGGUUGGCAUAAAUGCCAAGUCCUCGGCGACGCACGCCACGACAAUCGGUGGUUGCGAAACCUCGGUUGCCCGUCGUGUGCGGUCGUCGUGCAUCGAGGGCUCGAAAAAAUUGCCGGGCUCCGGCUCGGCUUUCAACGCGACCCCAGGUCAGGCGGGGUUACCCGCUGAAUUUAAGCAUAUCAAUAAGCGGAGGA
Molecule: unclassified non-coding RNA, 391 nt
Filed under: soil metagenome
Description: partial contains 5.8S ribosomal RNA, internal transcribed spacer 2, and large subunit ribosomal RNA
Rfam family: 5.8S ribosomal RNA (bases 1-122)
Source: RNAcentral